AUGGAUUAUCGUCCAAUUAGUGUUUGCAAUGUUAUUUAUAAAAUCAUUUCCAAAUCUUUAGCUAAUCGUCUUAAGCCUCAUCUUUCACAUUAUAUUGACCCUGCUCAACAAGCUUUCCUUGAAGGUAGAAGAAUUAGUGACAAUAUCAUUAUUGCUCAAGAGAUUUCUCACUCUUUUGCUCUUCGUUCUUGGAAUCACCUUGCUUUCAAGCUUAAAAUUGAUCUUGCUAAGGCUUUCGAUCGUUUAGAAUGGAGCUUCAUUGUUUCAGCUCUUGCACGUAAAGGAUUGCAUGCCCAUUUCAUAAAUUUGAUUUAUGAGUGCAUUUCUUCUCCUACUUUUUCUGUGGUCAUUAAUGGUAGGCCUUCUCAUAAAUUCAAAAGUUCUAGGGGUAUUUGUCAAGGUUGUCCUAUGUCCCCUUAUUUGUUUGUUAUUGCCAUUAAUGAAUUAUCUCUUGCUCUUAACGAAGCUUUAGCUGCUCAUAGUCUGCAGGGUAUUCUGCUUGGACCAAAUUGCCCCCCGAUUCACUCUCUUUUGUUUGCAGAUGAUUUGUUGGUAUGUGGUCAAGCUACUGUUCAGGAAGCUAAUGCUAUGGCCAGCAUUAUCAAUCAUUUUUGU
This 615-nucleotide ribosomal RNA is filed under the name Triticum aestivum (bread wheat). RNAcentral describes it as "partial small subunit ribosomal RNA". The record is from RNAcentral. Lineage: Eukaryota; Viridiplantae; Streptophyta; Magnoliopsida; Poales; Poaceae.